Molecule: long non-coding RNA, 951 nt
Organism: Gadus macrocephalus (Pacific cod)
Lineage: Eukaryota; Metazoa; Chordata; Actinopteri; Gadiformes; Gadidae
Exons: 3
Source: RefSeq, a predicted model, not a curated record
GGCUGCAUUCGAAGGGUGCGUUAACGCCGAUUGCGUCACAGCGACGCGCCAAGUGCUGUCCCAAUUCCAAGGGUCCUUCAAAUGCGGCCUACGAAUGCAGCCUUUUCCCGGAUUUGAAGGAUGCAUCGGCUGUAUCCUUCACGGCCCAACGUAUCCCAAGAUCCUUCACGGCCCAACGUAUCUCUCCCAAGAUUCAUUGCGCACUCAAUCAAUGGAGUUGGCGGAGAAUGGCGAUUUAAGUUUUGCAUUUAAAUGGAGCCAGCAGCAUACUGCUCGAUUUAUUCUAUAGAGGGGGGAGAACGAUGAGCUGUUCACCGGGGUGAAAUACUCAGCAAGUGUGGCUUGGGGGAUUGCAAGUAUCCAGGGUCAGGAGAGGGGGUAGGUGGGAAACCCACUGCUGCAACUUGGCCCUGGUUGGUCCUCAUGGAUGAGGUAUUGGGACAGAGGCAUUCCACCAUCCCCCCUGUCCUAAUUGCCUGCAUCACUGAGAACACACCAGGGCCAAGUACAGCAAGUACAGCAGUGGUGGAUCAGGAGGUGGAGGACAAGGAUCAGGAGGAGGAAAGACAGCGAGGGCCAAGGUCCAGAAAGAGGGACAGAGAGGAAGACAUGUUCCAGAGUCGCUCACUAUCUUCCGAAAAGGACUCAAGACUCACCUGUUCAGAGUCCACCUCGACUCUGCAUAGCCACCCUCCCCCUUCUGGCCACCAUUGUACACUGUGUUGUAUUGUAUUGUAUUGUAUUGUAUUAUAGACAGUACUUAACUGUGUAACAACUGCAGUAGCUGCUAUCAUGGCUGUAACACGGGGAAUUGAUUAGCCGAUUGUGGUACUUGCACUUGGUUCUAUGAACAUCCUUUCUGUACCAACAGCGAUAUAUUGAUGCACUUCUGAUGACAAAUGUACUUAUUGUAAGUCGCUUUGGAUAAAAGAGUCUGCUAAAUGCCCUAAA